GACGAACGCUGGCGGCGUGCUUAACACAUGCAAGUCGAACGGAAAGGCCUGCUUUCCCUUGUGGAUUGCGGGUACUCGCGUGGCGAACGGGUGAGUAACACGUGAGUGAUCUGCCCCCAACUUGGGUAUAAGCCUGGGAAACUGGGUCUAAUUCCCGAUAGGACUGCAGGGUGGUGCCUGUGGUGGAAAACGAUUUUCUAGUGGUUGGGGAUGAGCUCGCGGCCUAUCAGCUUGUUGGUGGGGUAAUGGCCUACCAAGGCGGCGACGGGUAGCCGGCCUGGGAGGGUGGACGGCCACAUUGGGACUGAGAUACGGCCCCGACUCCUACGGGAGGCAGCCGUGGGGAGUAUUGCACAAGGGGCGGAAGCCUGAGGCAGCGACGCCGCGUGGGGGAUGACGGCUUUCGGGUUGUAACCUCCUUUCGACCGCGAGGAAGCCACCUGGUUGGAAGGGUGGUGACGGUAGUGGUAGAAGAAGCACCGGCUAACUACGUG
Molecule: ribosomal RNA, 494 nt
Filed under: uncultured bacterium
Lineage: Bacteria
Description: partial 16S ribosomal RNA
Rfam family: Bacterial small subunit ribosomal RNA
Source: RNAcentral